This 483-nucleotide ribosomal RNA is filed under the name uncultured bacterium. Its description in RNAcentral is "partial 16S ribosomal RNA". It matches the Rfam family "Bacterial small subunit ribosomal RNA", at positions 30 to 507 of the family's 1533-position model. The record is from RNAcentral.
UUGAACGCUGGCGGCAGGCCUCACACAUGCCAGUCGAGCGGAUGAAGGGAGCUUGCUCCUGGAUUCAGCGGCGGACGGGUGAGUAAUGCCUAGGAAUCUGCCUGGUAGUGGGGGAUAACGUCCGGAAACGGGCGCUAAUACCGCAUACGUCCUGAGGGAGAAAGUGGGGGAUCUUCGGACCUCACGCUAUCAGAUGAGCCUAGGACGGAUUAGCUAGUUGGUGGGGUAAAGGCCUACCAAGGCGACGAUCCGUAACUGGUCUGAGAGGAUGAUCAGUCACACUGGAACUGAGACACGGUCCAGACUCCUACGGGAGGCAGCAGUGGGGAAUAUUGGACAAUGGGCGAAAGCCUGAUCCAGCCAUGCCGCGUGUGUGAAGAAGGUCUUCGGAUUGUAAAGCACUUUAAGUUGGGAGGAAGGGCAGUAAGUUAAUACCUUGCUGUUUUGACGUUACCAACAGAAUAAGCACCGGCUAACUUCGUG